GCAAUAUCGGACGGCGGCGGUCCGGCGGCGCGGCGGCACUCAGCAGUGACAGCCCGGCGCUGCCGACGCGGCGACCUCGGUCUCGCCGCUGACAGGGUGCCUGGCCGUGCGGCGCUGGCCGCUGAGCCGCCUCACGAGCGGUCGCCGGUGACCACUGCCAGGCCAACUACGUUACCUGCCUCAUAGCACAAAUUCGAGCGACGCAAGUUCAAAUCUCCGCCUGCCC
Pollicipes pollicipes is the source of this 226-nucleotide long non-coding RNA. RefSeq lists it as uncharacterized. Lineage: Eukaryota; Metazoa; Arthropoda; Thecostraca; Pollicipedomorpha; Pollicipedidae. The record is from RefSeq and is a predicted model, not a curated record. The transcript has 3 exons.